Molecule: ribosomal RNA, 305 nt
Filed under: uncultured bacterium
Lineage: Bacteria
Description: bacterial SSU rRNA
Rfam family: Bacterial small subunit ribosomal RNA
Source: RNAcentral
UCCCCUACGGGAGGCAGCAGUGAGGAAUAUUGGUCAAUGGGCGAGAGCCUGAACCAGCCAAGUCGCGUGAAGGAUGAAGGAUCUAUGGUUUGUAAACUUCUUUUAUAUGGGAAUAAAGUGAGGAACGUGUUCCUUUUUGUAUGUACCAUAUGAAUAAGCAUCGGCUAACUCCGUGCCAGCAGCCGCGGUAAUACGGAGGAUGCGAGCGUUAUCCGGAUUUAUUGGGUUUAAAGGGUGCGUAGGCGGUCCGUUAAGUCAGCGGUAAAAUUGCGGGGCUCAACCCCGUCGAGCCGUUGAAACUGGCA